Mycena epipterygia is the source of this 89-nucleotide non-coding RNA. Lineage: Eukaryota; Fungi; Basidiomycota; Agaricomycetes; Agaricales; Mycenaceae. The record is from the annotation of a GenBank genome assembly.
UCGGAUGUGGUGUAUGGUGCACGCCCACUUGUGUUGCUAAGUCGUUAUUGCAUCUGUGGGAAGCCUGGGUUCAACUCCCAGCGUUCGAA